Molecule: ribosomal RNA, 448 nt
Filed under: uncultured bacterium
Lineage: Bacteria
Description: partial 16S ribosomal RNA
Rfam family: Bacterial small subunit ribosomal RNA
Source: RNAcentral
CACCAGACUCCUACGGGAGGCAGCAGUGGGGAAUAUUGGGCAAUGGGCGCAAGCCUGACCCAGCAACGCCGCGUGAAGGAAGAAGGCUUUCGGGUUGUAAACUUCUUUUAAGAGGGAAGAGUAGAAGACGGUACCUCUUGAAUAAGCCACGGCUAACUACGUACCAGCAGCCGCGGUAAUACGUAGGUGGCAAGCGUUGUCCGGAUUUACUGGGUGUAAAGGGCGUGUAGCCGGGUUGACAAGUCAGAUGUGAAAUCCUGCGGCUUAACCGCAGAACUGCAUUUGAAACUGUUGAUCUUGAGUACUGGAGAGGCAGACGGAAUUCCUGGUGUAGCGGUGAAAUGCGUAGAUAUCAGGAGGAACAUCGGUGGCGUAAGCGCUUUACUGGGCCGUAAUUGACACUGAGGAACGAAAGCCAGGGUAGCAAAUGGGAUUAGAUACCCCCGUA